AAUAGAUACCCCGGUAGUCCAUGCCGUAAACGUUGGGCACUAGGUGUGGGGCUCAUUCCACGAGUUCCGUGCCGCAGCAAACGCAUUAAGUGCCCCGCCUGGGGAGUACGGCCGCAAGGCUAAAACUCAAAGGAAUUGACGGGGGCCCGCACAAGCGGCGGAGCAUGCGGAUUAAUUCGAUGCAACGCGAAGAACCUUACCAAGGCUUGACAUACACGGGAAGCCACCAGAGAUGGUGGUCUCUUUGGACACUCGUGCACAGGUGGUGCAUGGUUGUCGUCAGCUCGUGUCGUGAGAUGUUGGGUUAAGUCCCGCAACGAGCGCAACCCUCGUCCCAUGUUGCCAGCGGGUUAUGCCGGGGACUCAUGGGAGACUGCCGGGGUCAACUCGGAGGAAGGUGGGGAUGACGUCAAAUCAUCAUGCCCCUUAUGUCUUGGGCUUCACGCAUGCUACAAUGGCCGGUACAAAGGGCUGCGAUGCCGUAAGGUGGAGCGAAUCCCAAAAGCCGGUCUCAGUUCGGAUUGGGU
This 527-nucleotide ribosomal RNA is filed under the name uncultured bacterium. RNAcentral's name for it is "bacterial SSU rRNA". It matches the Rfam family "Bacterial small subunit ribosomal RNA", at positions 777 to 1303 of the family's 1533-position model. The record is from RNAcentral.